AAAGGAAUUGACGGGGACCCGCACAAGCAGUGGAGUAUGUGGUUUAAUUCGAAGCAACGCGAAGAACCUUACCAGGGCUUGACAUCUACGGAAUCUUUCAGAGAUGAGAGAGUGCCUUCGGGAACCGUAAGACAGGUGGUGCAUGGUUGUCGUCAGCUCGUGUCGUGAGAUGUUGGGUUAAGUCCCGCAACGAGCGCAACCCUUAUUGUUAGUUGCCAUCAUUAAGUUGGGCACUCUAGCGAGACUGCCGUUGACAAAACGGAGGAAGGUGGGGACGACGUCAAAUCAUCAUGCCCCUUAUGUCCUGGGCUACACACGUACUACAAUGGUCGUUAACAACGGGAAGCGAAAUAGUGAUAUGGAGCAAAUCCCCAAAAGCGGCCUCAGUUCGGAUUGCAGGCUGAAACCCGCCUGUAUGAAGUCGGAAUUGCUAGUAAUCGCGAAUCAGCAUGUCGCGGUGAAUACGUUCCCGGGUCUUGUACACACCGCCCGU
RNAcentral lists this ribosomal RNA (493 nucleotides) under uncultured bacterium. Its description in RNAcentral is "bacterial SSU rRNA". It matches the Rfam family "Bacterial small subunit ribosomal RNA", at positions 903 to 1397 of the family's 1533-position model. The record is from RNAcentral.